AGAGUUUGAUCCUGGCUCAGGAUGAACGCUGGCGGCGUGUCUAAGGCAUGCAAGUCGAACGAACCCGAUUUUCUUCGGAUUAGCGGGAAGUGGCAAACGGGAGAGUAACACCUUGGUAACCUACCUUCGAGACGGGGAUAGCCCAGAGAAAUUUGGAUUAACACCCGAUGGUCAUGGGGGGACAUAAGUCAUUCCCAUGUAAAUAAUUUAUUGCUCGAAGAGGGGCCUAGGUCCUAUCAGCUAGUUGGUGAGGCAAAAGCUCACCAAGGCUAUGACGGGUAGAGGGCGUGAGAGCGUGACCCUCCUCACUGGGACUGAGACACUGCCCAGACUCCUACGGGAGGCUGCAGUCAAGAAUAUUCCACAAUGGGCGAAAGCCUGAUGGAGCGACGCCGCGUGCAGGAAGACGCCCUUCGGGGUGUAAACUGCUUUUAUAAGGGACGAAUUCGUGACGGUACCUUAUGAAUAAGAGGUUGCUAACUCUGUGCCAGCAGCAGCGGUAAUACAGAGACCUCAAGCGUUAUCCGGAUUUACUGGGCGUAAAGCGUCCGCAGGUGGUUUGACAAGUUAUUGGUCAAAUCCUGAGGCUUAACUUCAGGACUGCUGAUAAAACUGUCAGACUUGAGGCUGGGAGAGGCAAGCGGAACUAUCGGUGUAGUCGUAAUAAGCGCUGAUAUCGAUAGGAACACCAAAGGCGAAGGCAGCUUGCUAGAACAUGCCUGACACUCAUGGACGAAAGCGUGGGUAGCGAAGGGGAUUAGAUACCCCCGUAGUCCACGCCGUAAACGAUGUGCACUAGGUAUUGGGAGUAUCGACCCUCCCAGUGCCGUUGAAAAAAGCUAACGCGUUAAGUGCACCGCCUGGGGAGUACGGUCGCAAGACUAAAACUCAAAGGAAUAGACGGGGACCCGCACAAGCGGUGGAUCAUGCGGUUUAAUUCGAUGAUACGCGAGGAACCUCACCAAGACUUGACAUAUAGCUGCAAGCUCCCAGAAACGGGAGCCUCCUUCGAGGGUGCUAUACAGGUGCUGCAUGGUUGCCGUCAGCUCGUGCCGUGAGGUGUACCGUUAAGUCGGGUAACGAGCGCAACCCUCGCCGUGUGUUAAAUGUACACACGGGACUGCCCGGGCAACCGGGAGGAAGGCGGGGACGACGUCAAAUCAGCAUGGCCCUUACGUCUUGGGCAACACGCAUGAUACAAUGGCCGGUACAAAGGGUAGCCAAACCGCGAGGUGGAGCCAAUCCCAAAAAAUCGGUCUCAGUUCAGAUUGUAGGCUGCAAUUCGCCUACAUGAAGUUGGAAUCGCUAGUAACCGCGAAUCAGAACGUCGCGGUGAAUACGUUCUCGGGUCUUGUACUCACCGCCCGUCACACCACGAAAGUUGGCAGUACCCGAAGGCUCUCGCAAGAGGGACGAAGGUAAGGUCAGUGAUCAGGGUGAAGUCGUAACAAGGUAACC
RNAcentral lists this ribosomal RNA (1458 nucleotides) under uncultured prokaryote. Its description in RNAcentral is "partial 16S ribosomal RNA". It matches the Rfam family "Bacterial small subunit ribosomal RNA". The record is from RNAcentral.